GGCCCCCGAGAUAUACAGUACGGCUCUGAGAGAGUAGCCCCGAGAUGGGUACUGAGACACGAACUCAGGCCUUAUGGGGCGCAUCAGGCGAGUAAACUUUGCAAUGUGCGAAAGCACGACAAGGUUAAUCCGAGUGGUUUCUGCUAAAGAAACCUUUUGUCAGUCCUAGAAACACUGAUGAAUAAGGGGUGGGCAAGUUCUGGUGUCAGCCGCCGCGGUAAAACCAGCACCUCAAGUGGUCAGGAUGAUUAUUGGGCCUAAAGCAUCCGUAGCCGGCUCUGUAAGUUUUCGGUUAAAUCUGUACGCUCAACGUACAGUCUGCCGGGAAUACUGCAGAGCUAGGGAGUGGGAGAGGUAGACGGUACUCGGUAGGAAGGGGUAAAAUCCUUUGAUCUAUUGAUGACCACCUGUGGCGAAGGCGGUCUACCAGAACACGUCCGACGGUGAGGGAUGAAAGCUGGGGGAGCAAACCGGAUUAGAUACCCGGGUAGUCCCAGCUGUAAACUAUGCAAACUCAGUGAUGCAUUGGCUUGUGGCCAAUGCAGUGC
RNAcentral lists this ribosomal RNA (548 nucleotides) under uncultured crenarchaeote. RNAcentral's name for it is "bacterial SSU rRNA". It matches the Rfam family "Archaeal small subunit ribosomal RNA", at positions 247 to 801 of the family's 1478-position model. The record is from RNAcentral. Lineage: Archaea; Thermoproteati; Thermoproteota.